This 447-nucleotide long non-coding RNA is filed under the name Dromaius novaehollandiae (emu). RNAcentral's name for it is "lncRNA (ENSDNVG00000004427.1)". Lineage: Eukaryota; Metazoa; Chordata; Aves; Casuariiformes; Dromaiidae. The record is from RNAcentral.
AGAAGGUCUGGAUGCAUUCCUGUUAAAGUUUUUCCCAACGUCUUUUCUUUUCAGCAACAAUCAAAUAUGGAGUAUUUUGAAAACAUGCAAGAAUAUCUGAACUCUCUGCAACUGUAGUUACAGUUGCAUCUACUCAGUUUCUCUAGUGACAAUCGGAUGUUUGAAUUUUCAGAGGGUGUGCUCCUGCAACAUGGUUCAUGUCCAGACUCUUCUAGGAGAUCCAACAGACCACCUGCUUGAUAGCGUGCAGGCUUUGGCCAGUAUCCAGCAACAGAAAUGACAACUCCUAAACUGCAGCUGAGGAGAAGGGAAACCUUGAAAAGAUGAUUUUCAGGUAUCUGAAAAGACUUGGAAGUGUAAAGGAAAGAUAAGAGAUUGGGAGAGGGUGGGGAAGAGUUUAGAGCUAAUGGUGAGGACAGAGACACAAAGUGCUGUGUUUGAAAAUGG